This is a long non-coding RNA of Suricata suricatta (meerkat), 228 nucleotides long. RefSeq lists it as uncharacterized. The transcript is spliced from 3 exons. NCBI's taxonomy places the organism in Eukaryota, Metazoa, Chordata, Mammalia, Carnivora, Herpestidae. The record is from RefSeq and is a predicted model, not a curated record.
UAAUGGGAAGGUUGUUUGUCUUUCCUUCAUCUUUAAGGUCAGAAAAGCCCCAGCUGUCUACAUCCAGCAGCUUUAAAAAUAUGUAACCUUGUUCAAGAGCAAACUAUCUACUGAACACAUUCUAAACUAAAGGACAUGCUCAGCUGUCUCCCACAUCGGAACAUUCACAUGGCUCCAGAGUUAUAGAAGAGAAUCAAACUAUAACAUCCCAUCUCCCCUAAAAUGCCA